UACGUAGGGUGCAAGCGUUGUCCGGAAUUAUUGGGCGUAAAGAGCUUGUAGGCGGUUUGUCGCGUCUGCCGUGAAAGCCCAGGGCUUAACCCUGGGUCUGCGGUGGGUACGGGCAGACUAGAGUGUGGUAGGGGAGACUGGAAUUCCUGGUGUAGCGGUGAAAUGCGCAGAUAUCAGGAGGAACACCGAUGGCGAAGGCAGGUCUCUGGGCCACUACUGACGCUGAGAAGCGAAAGCAUGGGGAGCAAACAGG
RNAcentral lists this ribosomal RNA (253 nucleotides) under uncultured bacterium. RNAcentral's name for it is "partial 16S ribosomal RNA". It matches the Rfam family "Bacterial small subunit ribosomal RNA", at positions 524 to 776 of the family's 1533-position model. The record is from RNAcentral.